Molecule: ribosomal RNA, 253 nt
Filed under: uncultured Clostridia bacterium
Lineage: Bacteria; Bacillati; Bacillota; Clostridia
Description: partial 16S ribosomal RNA
Rfam family: Bacterial small subunit ribosomal RNA
Source: RNAcentral
UACGUAGGUGGCAAGCGUUGUCCGGAAUUACUGGGCGUAAAGGGCGCGUAGGUGGCCUGCCAAGUCAGAUGUGAAAUCCCCGGGCUUAACCCGGGAACUGCAUUUGAAACUGGUGGGCUUGAGGGCAGGAGAGGAAAGCGGAACUCCCAGUGUAGCGGUGAAAUGCGUAGAUAUUGGGAGGAACACCAGUGGCGAAGGCGGCUUUCUGGACUGUACCUGACACUGAGGCGCGAAAGCUAGGGGAGCGAACGGG